This 253-nucleotide ribosomal RNA is filed under the name uncultured bacterium. Its description in RNAcentral is "partial 16S ribosomal RNA". It matches the Rfam family "Bacterial small subunit ribosomal RNA", at positions 524 to 776 of the family's 1533-position model. The record is from RNAcentral.
UACGGAGGGUGCAAGCGUUAUCCGGAUUCACUGGGUUUAAAGGGUGCGUAGGUGGGCAGGUAAGUCAGUGGUGAAAUCUCCGGGCUUAACCCGGAAACUGCCAUUGAUACUAUCAGUCUUGAAUACCGUGGAGGUAAGCGGAAUAUGUCAUGUAGCGGUGAAAUGCUUAGAUAUGACAUAGAACACCAAUUGCGAAAGCAGCUUACUACCCGAAUAUUGACACUGAGGCACGAAAGCGUGGGGAUCAAACAGG